Molecule: ribosomal RNA, 254 nt
Filed under: uncultured bacterium
Lineage: Bacteria
Description: partial 16S ribosomal RNA
Rfam family: Bacterial small subunit ribosomal RNA
Source: RNAcentral
UACGGAGGGUGCAAACGUUGCUCGGAAUCAUUGGGCGUAAAGCGCACGUAGGCUGCAAAGAAAGUUGGGUGUGAAAGCCCCUGGGCUCAACCCAGGAAGUGCAUUCAAAACUACUUUGCUUGAAUCUCGGAGGGGGUCAGAGAAUUCCCGGUGUAGAGGUGAAAUUCGUAGAUAUCGGGAGGAAUACCAGUGGCGAAGGCGCUGACCUGGACGAAGAUUGACGCUGAGGUGCGAAAGCGUGGGGAGCAAACAGG